Small nucleolar RNA from Lepisosteus oculatus (spotted gar), 72 nucleotides. Its record names the gene SNORD18. It matches the Rfam family "Small nucleolar RNA SNORD18". From Rfam's summary of the family: U18 is a member of the C/D class of snoRNA which contain the C (UGAUGA) and D (CUGA) box motifs. It is encoded in introns of ribosomal protein L1 in Xenopus and human, and in introns of elongation factor 1 beta in yeast. Related snoRNAs in Arabidopsis and rice have been named R63 and Z106 respectively. Lineage: Eukaryota; Metazoa; Chordata; Actinopteri; Semionotiformes; Lepisosteidae. The record is from Ensembl.
CUUUGCUGAUGAGACUCCACUUCAUUGGUCCGUGUUUUUGAAACCCGUGAUAACGGUGGAAGUUCUGAUGAG